Molecule: ribosomal RNA, 483 nt
Filed under: uncultured bacterium
Lineage: Bacteria
Description: partial 16S ribosomal RNA
Rfam family: Bacterial small subunit ribosomal RNA
Source: RNAcentral
GACGAACGCUGGCGGCGUGCUUAACACAUGCAAGUCGAACGCUGAAGCCCAGCUUUUGUUGGGUGGAUGAGUGGCGAACGGGUGAGUAACACGUGAGUAACCUGCCUCCUUCUUUGGGAUAACGCCCGGAAACGGGUGCUAAUACUGGAUAUUCACUGGUCUUCGCAUGGGGGUUGGUGGAAAGGGUUUUUCUGGUGGGGGAUGGGCUCGCGGCCUAUCAGCUUGUUGGUGGGGUGAUGGCCUACCAAGGCUUUGACGGGUAGCCGGACUGGGAGGGUGACCGGUAACAUUGGGACUGAGAUUGGGCCCAGACUCCUACGGGAGGCAGCAGGGGGGAAUAUUGCGCAAUGGGCGCAAGCCUGAUGCAGCGACGCCGCGUGAGGGAUGGAGGCCUUCGGGUUGUGAACCUCUUUCGCUCAUGGUCAAGCCGCAACAAUGGUUGUGGUGAGGGUAGUGGGUAAAGAAGCGCCGGCUAACUACGUG